GGGGGGGGGGGGGGGGGGGCGGGGGGCGGGCGGGGGGAGGGGGGGGGGGGGGGGCUGGCUUCGCUGGGGUGAGCGGCGGAGGGGCGAGGAACACGGGGAUGACCUACCCACCAGACUGGGCUAGCUUCGGGAAACCGGAGCUAAUACCGGACAAUAUCUCGACCCGCAUGGCCCAAAAGUAAAAGACGGUCUUGCUGCCCCCUACAGCUGUAUCCGCGCUGGCUUAGCUAUUUCCUAAGGUAACGGAUUACCAAGGCAACGAUGCAUAGCCGACCUGAGAGGGGGAGAGGCCAAAGUGGAACUGGGACACGGUCGAGACUACUGCGAGAGGCAGCAGUAGGGAAUCUUCCGCAAUGGGCGAAAGCCUGAUGGAACAACGCCGCGUGAGUGAUGAAGGUCCUCGGAUCGUAGAACUCUGGUAUUAGGGAAGAACAUAUGUGUGAGUGACUGUGCACAGCUUGACGGUAACUAAUCAGAAAGCCACGGCUAACUACGUG
This 497-nucleotide ribosomal RNA is filed under the name uncultured bacterium. RNAcentral's name for it is "partial 16S ribosomal RNA". It matches the Rfam family "Bacterial small subunit ribosomal RNA", at positions 26 to 507 of the family's 1533-position model. The record is from RNAcentral.